This 330-nucleotide ribosomal RNA is filed under the name Phlebotomus argentipes. RNAcentral's name for it is "SSU rRNA". It matches the Rfam family "Eukaryotic small subunit ribosomal RNA", at positions 1327 to 1578 of the family's 1831-position model. Lineage: Eukaryota; Metazoa; Arthropoda; Insecta; Diptera; Psychodidae. The record is from RNAcentral.
GAUAACGAACGAGACUCAAACGCCUUUAAAUAGAUGCUUGCAGGACUAUGGCGCUGAAAUCAUGUAUAUUCCAUUUAUUGGAUUGGUUUCGGCCUUUCUGAUUUGUGGCUUUAUGCAUGAUGGAGCUAUACCUGUUUGGUUUGUCUUAAGAGGACACUUUGCUUCUUAAAUGGACAAAAUGCGUCUAGCAUUAAUGAGAUUGAGCAAUAACAGGUCUGUGAUGCCCUUAGAUGUCCUGGGCUGCACGCGCGCUACAAUGAAGGUAUCAAUGUGUUUUAUCCUUGACCGAGAGGUAUGGGUAAACAUUGAACCACCUUCAUGGUUGGGAUU